This 470-nucleotide ribosomal RNA is filed under the name Enterococcus faecalis. RNAcentral describes it as "bacterial SSU rRNA". It matches the Rfam family "Bacterial small subunit ribosomal RNA", at positions 83 to 539 of the family's 1533-position model. The record is from RNAcentral. Lineage: Bacteria; Bacillati; Bacillota; Bacilli; Lactobacillales; Enterococcaceae.
UUGGAAAGAGGAGUGGCGGACGGGUGAGUAACACGUGGGUAACCUACCCAUCAGAGGGGGAUAACACUUGGAAACAGGUGCUAAUACCGCAUAACAGUUUAUGCCGCAUGGCAUAAGAGUGAAAGGCGCUUUCGGGUGUCGCUGAUGGAUGGACCCGCGGUGCAUUAGCUAGUUGGUGAGGUAACGGCUCACCAAGGCCACGAUGCAUAGCCGACCUGAGAGGGUGAUCGGCCACACUGGGACUGAGACACGGCCCAGACUCCUACGGGAGGCAGCAGUAGGGAAUCUUCGGCAAUGGACGAAAGUCUGACCGAGCAACGCCGCGUGAGUGAAGAAGGUUUUCGGAUCGUAAAACUCUGUUGUUAGAGAAGAACAAGGACGUUAGUAACUGAACGUCCCCUGACGGUAUCUAACCAGAAAGCCACGGCUAACUACGUGCCAGCAGCCGCGGUAAUACGUAGGUGGCAAGC